Long non-coding RNA from Hippocampus comes (tiger tail seahorse), 431 nucleotides. RefSeq lists it as uncharacterized. The transcript has 4 exons. The record is from RefSeq and is a predicted model, not a curated record. NCBI's taxonomy places the organism in Eukaryota, Metazoa, Chordata, Actinopteri, Syngnathiformes, Syngnathidae.
ACACGGCCUCGUCGGAAAAAAAAUACACCAACGCAACCCGCAUGUUUGCUAUCGAAUGAAGGCUCCGACUCGGGCUGAAAGACACAAGAGUGAAUACAAGAAGCAGGUGGAGAAUUCGUGAGAAGGAGGGCUGCGCCGCUGUGGGUCACAACUGACUUGAAUCAUGGUUCUCAGCAGUGCAAGUGUAUGCUCCUUGGUCCACGUCCCUCACCUCGUCCACCAAGAGAAUGGACUGAAUCUGCUGACCAGUUGCGCCCCCGCCAACUGAAUUGAUGCUCUCGAGUGUAUACAGAGGUCUCCCAAUCUGCUCCCAACACGUUGAAAGGCCACUGAAAAACUUACAAACCUUAAUCAGCAGUUCACUAUUCUGGGGGGGAUGACAGAAGAACUUUAUGUGUGUAAGCUAUUUGAAAUAAAUUCUGUAAACACAU